This 945-nucleotide ribosomal RNA is filed under the name uncultured bacterium. RNAcentral's name for it is "bacterial SSU rRNA". It matches the Rfam family "Bacterial small subunit ribosomal RNA", at positions 1 to 917 of the family's 1533-position model. RNAcentral also lists the same sequence under 1 other name. The record is from RNAcentral.
UGGGUCCAGACUUUGAUUAUGGCUCAAGACGAACGCUGGCGGCGUGCUUAACACAUGCAAGUCGGACGAGACGAUUGAAAGCUUGCUUUUGAAAGUCGAGUGGCAAACGGGUGAGUAACGCGUAGACAACCUGCCGUAAAGAUGGGGACAACAGUCCGAAAGGACUGCUAAUACCGAAUGUUGUGGAACUUCCGCAUGGGAGCUCUACUAAAGAUGGCCUCUACUUGUAAGCUAUCGCUUUACGAUGGGUCUGCGUCUGAUUAGCUAGUUGGUGGGGUAACGGCCUACCAAGGCGACGAUCAGUAGCCGGUCUGAGAGGAUGAACGGCCACAUUGGAACUGAGACACGGUCCAGACUCCUACGGGAGGCAGCAGUGGGGAAUCUUCCGCAAUGGGCGCAAGCCUGACGGAGCGACGCCGCGUGAGUGAAGAAGGGUUUCGACUCGUAAAGCUCCGUUGUCGGGGACGAAUGUGGAGGUUGUGAAUAACAGCUUCCAAUGACGGUACCUGACGAGGAAGCCACGGCUAACUACGUGCCAGCAGCCGCGGUAAUACGUAGGUGGCGAGCGUUGUCCGGAAUUAUUGGGCGUAAAGGGAGCGCAGGCGGGAGGUCAAGUCUAUCUUAAAAGUGCGGGGCUCAACCCCGUGAGGGGAUGGAAACUGGUCUUCUUGAGUGCAGGAGAGGAAAGCGGAAUUCCUAGUGUAGCGGUGAAAUGCGUAGAUAUUAGGAGGAACACCAGUGGCGAAGGCGGCUUUCUGGACUGUAACUGACGCUGAGGCUCGAAAGCGUGGGGAGCGAACAGGAUUAGAUACCCUGGUAGUCCACGCCGUAAACGAUGAAUGCUAGGUGUAGGAGGUAUCGACCCCUCCUGUGCCGGAGUUAACGCAAUAAGCAUUCCGCUCGGGGAGUACGGCCGCAAGGCUGCAACUCAAAUGAAUUGACGGA